CCUCGUAGCAAGGAGGGCAAUCUCUGUGUUUUACAGGGUUUUGAAGAAUUAUACCUAUGACAUGUGCUAUUCAAAAUAUAACUCUGAAAUUGUUCCUUCUGCCCUGUAAAAACAAGUCAUUACAAUCAAGCAGUGUUUGCCCUGUGAAUUUAUCAAGCCACAUGGACCUUAAUGACAGAUGACCUAAAGAGACUUGAAGGGAAUGGUGCAGUUGCCAGAUGGAAGGAUCCAUAUGCCUGAAUCUCAAGAUGAAGGAAAAUCCACCUAAUUGCCAACUAGGAGCACUGGAAUUGGCCUGCAAUACGGUGUGUGAUAUUGGGGAAUUCAUCUCAAGCCUUGGUUGCAAUACAAGCGGGAACCAAGAAAAGACACACCUUACUCAAGCAUGUCAUAAGGUUGGCAAAAUGGAGUACAAGAAAUUCCAAAUGUUGGGAAUGAUGUGGAGAAAUGGGAAGUUGCUGGAUCUCUAGUGAGACUAUACUUGGGUAUAUAUUUCAGGAUUAAUAACUUGGCAGCACUCAGAGAACUUAUGAUCCAACUAGCCCAUUCCUGCACUUAUGUCACAGAGAAAUUCCCUCACAUAUCCAUGAAGGUAGUGAGCAAGGAUAAUCAUCAAUCAUAGUUGAGAUUUGGAGGCAAUGGUCACACUCCCUUUUGUUACAGUUCCCCUUAGAACCCAACUGCCAUUUACUGAGAAGCCAAAACCACUUGGAGAGGCCAUAGGGAGACUUUCCAUUUCCUAGUGAACCCAGCCUUGGGCUCAUCCAGUCCCAUCACCGGAUGCGCACACGAAUAAGCCCUUGGACUGUCUAGCACUAGUAAGUGUGAGUGUAAGUGGCACUGGCCACUUACAGUAAAGUAACUUCCUGAAAUGAUACUAAAGUUGAUUAUUACUUCCAAAAAGGACUUUGAGGAAGCAAGUGUGGGACUUCCACUUUGUAGAGAUGAAGUGUACAUUUCCCCCCACUAAAAACAAUUAAAACUCCUGCUCAUUAGUUGUAAAACAAACGUAAGAAAACUCUGAAAGGUUGAGAGAAGGCAGACCAGAUAGGCACCUCAGGAUACAAAGAACAGUAUGAUGAUGAGUUCCCUGCGGUUUUCCUGUUUUCUGGGUGGUUUUUUGAGGGGAUAGGGGAGUGCCUCAUAUAUCCCUGGACUUACAGGUGAAGAAGCUAGUUACCUGAAAAUGCCAAUAGGUUCAGACGAAAUAAAUAGAUAAUAACUAGAAGCAUGUUCUUGUAGCCCAAAGACCAUGAAAGGAAUAUCCUAGAAAGACAAAAAAUUUUUAGACAAUAGCCACUUGACUUCAGUCAGACGCCAGAGAAAAAACUUUGACUCCAUCACCAGCCAUGCUGACAAAGGCCAAGAGGGGAGCCUAGACUUGCACUCUGAUCCCACAGUGAUGAAGUGCCUCCCUCUCCCCACUGGGCUAGGUCAGAGGAAUGGAAAGUCAGGACUUGCCGCCAUUACUCCCCUCUUCCUGGGCUAGUGGAGGCCACUUGUGGAACUUGUGGAACAGUAGGAAGGAUCUCUCCCAGCAGGCAAGAGAUCCGCAGAGGAUCUUGUAGUUCCAGAAGAUAUGAAAAUGUACAAAAACAAGAAGAAAAAAAACAUGAUGGAUGGAUGCAAAAGGAGUAAAGGAGCCAAAUGAAAGUGCUCCCAGUGAUCAAAACUGGAAAAAUUUGAGGAACAAAAUGGAUUAUUUUUAAACACAUUGUAUUGUAACCCAAAAUACAGGAUAAGUAUGAGUGAGUACAAACUGAUAGGCAUAAAUGAUUGAAUAAAUUAAUAGAUGGGGAUGAAGAGGCAAAUUUCCCAUACAGAAGAAUUCCAAAUAAUGUAUGUAGAUACCUGACCCUCAAGGAAGGGGCAUAACUCUUCACUCUUUACGUGUGGGCUGCACCUAGUGACUUGUUUCUAAAAAGUACAAUAUGAAAGUGGGGGGGAAACCACGAAACUUUACAGUGCAGGAAGCUCACAACACUAACUUGGCCAGGUGAUCAAGGUCAACAUGAUUGGAAAUAAAUUGUGUUGUACCCUUGACAUGUACUUUGCUAUGAGGUAGUGAAAAUGGCACUUGACCUCUGUGGUUUUCCUCCCCAAGACACAUAACCCCAGUCUAAUCAUGAGAAGAUCAUCAGGCAAGUUCCAUUAGAGACGUACCCUACAAAAAUACCUGGCCAGGACUUCUCAAGAACUGUCAAGGUCAUCAAAACAGGGGAAAUCUAAGCAACUGUUACAGCUAAGAGGAGCCCAAGGAGACAUGGUGCCUUAAUGUAAUAUGGUGUCCUCACUGGGAUCCUUGGAAAGAAAAAGGACAGUAGGUAAAAACUAAGGAAAUCUGAAUGAAGUAUGGACAUCAGGUAACUGGUUAAUUAAUUGUAACAAACAUACCAUAGUGAUGUAAAAUGCUAACAAUAGGGGAAACUGGGAGCACGGUAUAAGGUAGUUCUAUAUUAUCUUCUUAAAUAUAAAACAUUCUCUAAAAUAAAAACUAUUUUUUUAAAAGUGAGAAGAGAGUUGAUGUUACUAACUAGAACCUAGUUAAAAUUCAAAUCAAGUUCUUAAUGGUAACUUCUAGCAAAGCAUAUUUAAGGUCUAUAUGGUAAAUUACAUCCUAUUUUCCUAUGUGAAUAAAUGGCCAAAUAUAAUAAAGCUGAGAUCACUAUUA
Long non-coding RNA from Lutra lutra (Eurasian river otter), 2671 nucleotides. RefSeq lists it as uncharacterized. NCBI's taxonomy places the organism in Eukaryota, Metazoa, Chordata, Mammalia, Carnivora, Mustelidae. The record is from RefSeq and is a predicted model, not a curated record. The transcript has 6 exons.